RNAcentral lists this ribosomal RNA (403 nucleotides) under bacterium. Its description in RNAcentral is "partial 16S ribosomal RNA". It matches the Rfam family "Bacterial small subunit ribosomal RNA", at positions 355 to 776 of the family's 1533-position model. The record is from RNAcentral. RNAcentral also lists the same sequence under 1 other name.
UGGGGAAUAUUGCACAAUGGGGGAAACCCUGAUGCAGCGACGCCGCGUGAACGAAGAAGGUAUUCGUAUCGUAAAGUUCUGUCCUAUGGGAAGAUAAUGACAGUACCAUAGAAGAAAGCUCCGGCUAAAUACGUGCCAGCAGCCGCGGUAAUACGUAUGGAGCGAGCGUUGUCCGGAAUUAUUGGGCGUAAAGGGUACGCAGGCGGUUUAAUAAGUCGAAUGUUAAAGAUCGGGGCUCAACCCCGUAAAGCAUUGGAAACUGAUAAACUUGAGUAGUGGAGAGGAAGGUGGAAUUCCUAGUGUAGUGGUGAAAUACGUAGAUAUUAGGAGGAAUACCAGUAGCGAAGGCGACUUUCUGGACACAAACUGACGCUGAGGUACGAAAGCGUGGGGAGCAAACAGG